This 230-nucleotide ribosomal RNA is filed under the name uncultured bacterium. RNAcentral's name for it is "partial 16S ribosomal RNA". It matches the Rfam family "Bacterial small subunit ribosomal RNA", at positions 15 to 229 of the family's 1533-position model. The record is from RNAcentral.
GAUCAUGCUCAGGACGAACGCUGGCGGCGUGCCUAACACAUGCAAGUCGAACGGAGAAUUUUAUUUCGGUAGAGUUCUUAGUGGCGAACGGGUGAGUAACGCGUAGGCAACCUGCCCUUUAGACGGGGACAACAUUCCGAAAGGAGUGCUAAUACCGGAUGUGAUCAUCUUGCCGCAUGGCAGGAUGAAGAAAGAUGGCCUCUACAAGUAAGCUAUCGCUAAAGGAUGGG